AGAGUUUGAUCCUGGCUCAGGAUGAACGCUGGCGGCGUGCCUAACACAUGCAAGUCGAACGGUUUCGCAAGGAACAGUGGCGCACGGGUGAGUAACACGUAGCGAACCUGUCCUGGAGAGCGGGAUAACGCCCCGAAAGGGGUGCUAAGACCGCAUAAGCUCACGAGGGGAAGUGCCUGGUGAGAAAACAGCGCAAGUUGCUUCAGGGGGGAGCUGCAGCCCAUCAGGUAGUUGGUGGGGUAAGAGCCUACCAAGCCGACGACGGGUAGGGGGCCUGAGAGGGUGGUCCCCCACACUGGGACUGAGACACGGCCCAGACUCCUACGGGAGGCAGCAGUGAGGGAUAUUGGUCAAUGGGCGAAAGCCUGAACCAGCGACGCCGCGUGGGUGACGAAGGUCUUCGGAUCGUAAAGCCCUUUUCUGGGUGAAGAGCAAGGACGGUAGCCCAGGAAGAAGUCUCGGCUAACUACGUGCCAGCAGCCGCGGUAAAACGUAGGAGACAAGCGUUAUCCGGAGUUACUGGGCGUAAAGGGCGUGCAGGCGGCGCAUUAAGUCUGUUGUGAAAGCGCCUGGCUUAACCGGGCGAGGCCAAUGGAGACUGAUGGGCUAGAGGACGGCGGAGGGGUGUGGAAUUCCGGGUGUAGUGGUGAAAUGCGUAGAGAUCCGGAGGAACACCAGAGGCGAAGGCGGCACCCUAAGCCGUACCUGACGCUGAGACGCGAUAGCACGGGGAGCAAACGGGAUUAGAAACCCCGGUAGUCCGUGCCGUAAACGAUGCCAGCUAGACGUUCGGGUUCCGAGAGGGACCUGGGUGUCGCAGCAAACGCGAUAAGCUGGCCGCCUGGGGACUACGAGCGCAAGCUUAAAACUCAAAGGAAUUGACGG
This 885-nucleotide ribosomal RNA is filed under the name uncultured bacterium. Its description in RNAcentral is "bacterial SSU rRNA". It matches the Rfam family "Bacterial small subunit ribosomal RNA", at positions 8 to 916 of the family's 1533-position model. The record is from RNAcentral.